GAAUUGUAUUUGUAUGAAUAACUAUACGUAAAGUACUUGUUCAAUGUGUAUGAAGAAAACUUGCACAAUUUUUUUUUUUUUUUCUUCCUUAGUAAUAAUUAUUCUACGUAUAAUUAUUUUAGUACAAUGUACAUUAAUGAAUUAUGUGAAUGUAAUAUCCUAGGUUUGGGUCAAGAACCCAACUUGCGAUUAGACAAAGAAGACAUGUGAAUAACAAUGAUUGUAAAAUCCGUCAAGGGCAUUACAGCACAUUAAAAUCUAAUUAACUCUACUAUACAUUUUAACGAGUGACUUAUCAAUGUGUUCUAUAACGGUCGUAAGACGCUCCAAAUUGUCCGUCGAGUAGAACAAAAAAUAGAAGAAAUACAAAAAGCAACUCUCUUCAGACAUCUUGUUCAGAGCCUUCCAUCUUGUCGUUAGAAUUGCCUACUAAGAAAGCAGUUGGCGAGCUAAAGGGGUUCUUUAGAUGCGCAGCCGCAGUUUUCUCCCACUUCUGCUCGAUAUUCGAGUGUAAUAAUGCCGGUGGUUGCGAAAGAACGAGCAACGAAUGAGAGAGAUGAUAAAAGAUAUGAGAUAGAAGGGUGUGUUAAGGAACCCGGUAGCCAGUCUAGUCAUCCCUAGGUGAAAAUCCAAUUCGUAUUCUUACCAGCUAAGCUCAUCUUCUUUUCAUUACACUUUAAUUAGUGAUGAUUAGUGACUAGGUGCUAUGCUGCAGUGUUGUUGGUCUGAAUUUAAUUAUGACCAGUGGAUCCACAC
This is a long non-coding RNA of Cotesia glomerata, 756 nucleotides long. RefSeq lists it as uncharacterized. Lineage: Eukaryota; Metazoa; Arthropoda; Insecta; Hymenoptera; Braconidae. The transcript is spliced from 3 exons. The record is from RefSeq and is a predicted model, not a curated record.